Molecule: ribosomal RNA, 501 nt
Filed under: uncultured bacterium
Lineage: Bacteria
Description: partial 16S ribosomal RNA
Rfam family: Bacterial small subunit ribosomal RNA
Source: RNAcentral
AUUGAACGCUGGCGGCAGGCUUAACACAUGCAAGUCGAGCGGAGAUGAGGUGCUUGCACCUUAUCUUAGCGGCGGACGGGUGAGUAAUGCUUAGGAAUCUGCCUAUUAGUGGGGGACAACAUUCCGACAGGAAUGCUAAUACCGCAAACGUCCUACGGGAGAAAGCAGGGGAUCUUCGGACCUUGCGCUAAUAGAUGAGCCUAAGGCGGAUUAGCUAGUUGGUGGGGUAAAGGCCUACCAAGGCGACGAUCUGUAGCGGGUCUGAGAGGAUGAUCAGCCACACUGGGACUGAGACACGGCCCAGACUCCUACGGGAGGCAGCAGUGGGGAAUAUUGGACAAUGGGGGAAACCCUGAUCCAGCCAUGCCGCGUGUGUGAAGAAGGCCUUAUGGUUGUAAAGCACUUUAAGCGAGGAGGAGGCUACUGAGACUAAUACUCUUGGAUAGUGGACGUUACUCGCAGAAUAAGCACCGGCUAACUCUGUGCCAGCAGCCGCGGUAA